RNAcentral lists this ribosomal RNA (414 nucleotides) under uncultured bacterium. RNAcentral describes it as "bacterial SSU rRNA". It matches the Rfam family "Bacterial small subunit ribosomal RNA", at positions 8 to 421 of the family's 1533-position model. The record is from RNAcentral.
AGAGUUUGAUCCUGGCUCAGAAUGAACGCUGGCGGCGUGCCUAACACAUGCAAGUCGGAUGUGCCCGCAAGGGUGCAUGGCAGACGGGUGAGUAACGCGUGGGGAAUCUACCUCUUUGUGGGGAAUAACGCUCCGAAAGGAGUGGUAAUACCGCAUGAGAUCCAUGGCUGGAAUGUUGUGGAUGAAACCUGGGGACCUUCGGGCCUGGGGCAAGGAGAGGAUCCUGCGUCUGAUUAGCUAGUUGGUGAGGUAGCGGCCCACCAAGGCAACGAUCAGUAGCCGGCCUGAGAGGGUGAUCGGCCACACUGGAACUGAGACACGGUCCAGACUCCUACGGGAGGCAGCAGUGGGGAAUUUUGCGCAAUGGGCGAAAGCCUGACGCAGCAACGCCGCGUGGGUGAUGAAGGUCUUCGG